UGAGACUCUGUGCGCGUGCAUAUCAAUAAGCGGAGGAAAAGAAACUAACAAGGAUUCCCCUAGUAACGGCGAGUGAAGCGGGAAGAGCUCAAAUUUGAAAUCUUAAAGGGUUUCCCUUUACGAAUUGUAGUUUAAAGAAGUGUUUUCUGUUGGAGUUUCGGUAAAAGUUCUUUGGAAUAGGACAUCAUAGAGGGUGAGAAUCCCGUAUUUGACCGUUACUUUCCAGCUGUGUGAUACACUUUCAAAGAGUCGGAUUGUUUGGGAAUGCAGUCCAAGAUGGGUGGUAAAUUUCAUCUAAAGCUAAAUAUUGGCGAGAGACCGAUAGCGAACAAGUACCGUGAGGGAAAGAUGAAAAGGAACUUUGAAAAGAGAGUUAAACAGUACGUGAAAUUGUCAAAAGGGAAGCGUUUGACACCAGUGUUGUUUAGUUGAAAAUCAAUUCAAUAGUUUUUGAUUCUAAGUAGUAUUGACUUCAUCAGCUUGCUGCUUUCUUCUCAGAAAUUAUUGAAUGCACUUUUCAGUUAACAAGUCAACAUCAAUUUCUUUUGUUGUAAAAGGGUAAGAGGAAGGUGGCUUGCGCUUCGGCUCAAGUGUUUAUAGCCUUUUAUCUCUGCAAUCGGAGAGAUUGAGGCCUGCAGCGUAGAUCCUUCGGGGUUAGAUACAUUUGUGCUAAGUUAUAGCUCUUCAUAGACAACUUGUUGACUAUGUUUAGUCUUGUAGCUUACUCGCUUAUGCUAUUUUACCUACGCUUAGGAUGUUGACAGCAGUAUAGACUGU
Molecule: ribosomal RNA, 777 nt
Filed under: uncultured Neocallimastigales
Lineage: Eukaryota; Fungi; Neocallimastigomycota; Neocallimastigomycetes; Neocallimastigales
Description: partial large subunit ribosomal RNA
Rfam family: Eukaryotic large subunit ribosomal RNA
Source: RNAcentral